Molecule: long non-coding RNA, 1463 nt
Organism: Cyprinus carpio (common carp)
Lineage: Eukaryota; Metazoa; Chordata; Actinopteri; Cypriniformes; Cyprinidae
Source: Ensembl
AUGAGACUCCCUUUGAAGGCCAGACAGAUAGCGCGAGGGAAUGAGAGAAAGAGAGAGAGAGUGGGAGAAAGAAGGGGGCUGGGGGCAAGCAAUAGGAGCGCAAUUAAAAUUGCACACACUGGCGAAAUCUUUUUCUUUUAAAGCACAAGUCCUAGCCCUCUUUAGGGAGCUCAUCAACCCCUUCUCCUUUUGAAGAUUUCACAGUGUUUUUUUCUUUCUGGUUUUAGGCAGACAACGAGUUGCUGGCCGCUCCAUUAUGGCCUUGUUUGCUCCUUGUAUGCAGGAUCAUCCAUACAAUAAAAGCGAAAUUAAAAGUUCUCAGAUGUGCGGCACUGUUGGCACAUGCUGCUAGCGUACGCAUAUUCUCUCCGCCCCCGGAUGGAUUGAAGAUACCACCUUCACUUGGGAGUGAAGGCCAGAGAGGAGAAAACGUGAGGGGAUGCCUUCUGCCUAUCGGGCACAAGAGUGUUUGCAUGUUGACUUCAGAGCCAAAUCAGGAGGCAACGAAGGGGACAGGCCACAGCUUUCAGCAACAUGUCAACUGGACACAGUAACUCAUAAAAUAUCCUCUGUGCGCAUGAAAAAUGCAGGCUGACUCCAGGAGAAGGGUAUGUAUAAUUGAUUCAAAUGAGGAGCUCUUCCCUGCCAGGGACCGUGCGCUCAGUUUGCCAGCUGCUGUGCUGGGAGAACAGAAUGUAGGCCAGAGGAAGAAGAAAGGUGCUCUGGACACAGCCUGACCCGGUGGGAGAGAAGAAAUGAUAGAGGACAUACCACAUCAAGCCCCAGGCCAUGACGUGUAUGACGUUAGUAAGAGUUUCUUUCAAAUGCAUCACUAGCAUCGUUUGCAUUAGCUGAUGCAGGACAGUCGCAUAACACCCUCGUUAAAUAAGCUAGUGACAACCAAAGAUAUGAAAAAAGUUUGAAUUCAGCCUUGUGUUAUAUGUUAAAGGGACAGUUCAUCUAAAUUAAAAUUCUGUCUUCAUUUACGCACCCUUAUUAAUAUGUGUGUGUAUAUAUUUUGUGUGUGUGUGUGUGUGUAUAUAUAUAUAUAUAUAUAUAUAUAUAUAUAUAUAUAUAUAUAUAUAUAUAUACACACAUACAGUAUAUUAUACACAAUACACAUACAGUAUAUUAUCCAUAUAAUGACAGUAUGAAACUGUACUGGAAAAACAAGGAAAGAAAGUCAUACAGGUUUAAAAUGACAUGAGGUUUAGUAAAUGAUGACAGAAUAUUUUCUUUUGUUUGUAUUUUCAUUCUGUAAAGAACAGAAGGAAAAUUAAAGAUUGUUUAUUGAAAAUGGCUUUGAUACAUCUGGCUCCCUAUAUAAAUAUUUGGUCUUCGACCCUGUAAAUUUAAACUAUUGUGUAAUGGAAUAUUCUUUUGAAAGUUACAGUUUCAGUCAUCUUUGGCUUUGCCAAACUAAGAACAAAAUAUUCCUUAUUAACCUGUAUAAAUUCCUAAAG